Molecule: ribosomal RNA, 253 nt
Filed under: uncultured bacterium
Lineage: Bacteria
Description: partial 16S ribosomal RNA
Rfam family: Bacterial small subunit ribosomal RNA
Source: RNAcentral
UACGGAGGGUGCAAGCGUUAAUCGGAAUUACUGGGCGUAAAGCGCGCGUAGGCGGCUCGGUCAGUCGGGUGUGAAAUCCCUGGGCUCAACCUGGGAACUGCAUUCGAUACUGCUGAGCUAGAGUGUGGGAGAGGGUAGUGGAAUUCCCGGUGUAGCGGUGAAAUGCGUAGAUAUCGGGAGGAACAUCAGUGGCGAAGGCGACUGCCUGGCCCAACACUGACGCUGAGGUGCGAAAGCGUGGGUAGCAAACAGG